Callithrix jacchus (white-tufted-ear marmoset) is the source of this 84-nucleotide small nuclear RNA. Lineage: Eukaryota; Metazoa; Chordata; Mammalia; Primates; Cebidae. The record is from Ensembl.
GCUUCCUUCGGCAGCACAAUACAGAGAUUAGCAUGGCCCCUGCGCAAGGAUGACAUGCAAAUUUGUGAAGCAUUUUAUAUAUAA